Molecule: ribosomal RNA, 743 nt
Filed under: Pythium dissotocum
Lineage: Eukaryota; Oomycota; Peronosporomycetes; Pythiales; Pythiaceae
Description: LSU rRNA
Rfam family: Eukaryotic large subunit ribosomal RNA
Source: RNAcentral
AAACUAACAAGGAUUCCCCUAGUAACGGCGAGUGAAGCGGGAUGAGCUCAAGCUUAAAAUCUCUGUGCCAGUUUGGCAUGGCGAAUUGUAGUCUAUGGAGGCGCUAUCAGUGCGAUUGUUCGGGUUAAGUUCCUUGGAAGAGGACAGCAUCGAGGGUGAUACUCCCGUAUGUACCUGUUCAGUCGCGCGUACGAUACGUUUUCUUUGAGUCGCGUUGUUUGGGAAUGCAGCGCAAAGUAGGUGGUAAAUUCCAUCUAAAGCUAAAUAUUGGUGCGAGACCGAUAGCGAACAAGUACCGUGAGGGAAAGAUGAAAAGAACUUUGAAAAGAGAGUUAAAGAGUACCUGAAACUGCUGAAAGGGAACCGAAUCGUUUCCAGUGUCUAUAAUCCAUGGUAUAUUUCAUUGGUGUGUAAGUGCGUGCAGCGUUUUGGAAGUAGUUUUCUGCUCCUGUCGUUGUUGUGCAUUUGCCUGCUGGUGCCCUGUGCUGUGGUGGGACGUCAGAGUCAGUUCGUGUGUUGCGGGAAAUGGUUAUUGGGGAGGUAGGUCACUUCGGUGGCUGUUAUAUCCUGAUAACUAGUCGUCGUGGCUGGGACUGAGGUGCCUACAACGUGCUUUUGAGUCUGCGGGCUUCUCGUGUUGCUGUUUGCUUGGAUAGCUUGCUAUGUUUGUAAAUAAGUCGUGCGAUUGAGACCUGUAGUAACUUGUUGCCGUUCGGGACUUUGACGAAAUGGAGCGAUCCGAC